This 374-nucleotide transfer-messenger RNA is filed under the name Legionella sp. Its description in RNAcentral is "partial transfer-messenger RNA". It matches the Rfam family "transfer-messenger RNA". From Rfam's summary of the family: Bacterial tmRNA, also known as 10Sa RNA or SsrA, is named for its dual tRNA and mRNA-like properties. The record is from RNAcentral. Lineage: Bacteria; Pseudomonadati; Pseudomonadota; Gammaproteobacteria; Legionellales; Legionellaceae.
GGGGGCGACCUGGCUUCGACGUGGGUUGCGAAACUUGAGGUGCAUGCCGAGAAUGAGCACUCUCGUAAAUCAGACUCAACUAAACACAAAUGCAAACGAUGAAAACUUUGCUGGAGAAGCGAUCGCUGCGUAAGCAGUAAUUGCCAACCACACCGUGCGCUGCCAUAAAACCAGCGCCCCGAUGCCCACGCCUGCUUAUAGGUAGUGGAACCAUCGGUCAUAGAAGAUAAGCUAGUGAUCAGGUGUGUCCCGUGCCCGAUUGCGAAACUCAGGGAAUCGUCGUGUAUCAUCCUGCCAGUCGGAGGGUCCACGAUUAAACUCAAAUGACCAGGCUAUGCAUGUAGAGCUGACGGCAGAGGAUUUGCGGACGCGGG